UACGGAGGGGGCAAGCGUUGUUCGGAAUUAUUGGGCGUAAAGGGCAUGUAGGCGGUUCGGUAAGUUAAAGGUGAAAUGCCAGGGCUUAACCCUGGAGCUGCUUUUAAUACUGCCAGACUAGAGUCCGGGAGAGGAUAGCGGAAUUCCUAGUGUAGAGGUGAAAUUCGUAGAUAUUAGGAGGAACACCAGUGGCGAAGGCGGCUAUCUGGUCCGGUACUGACGCUGAGGUGCGAAAGCGUGGGGAGCAAACA
Molecule: ribosomal RNA, 251 nt
Filed under: uncultured Anaplasma sp.
Lineage: Bacteria; Pseudomonadati; Pseudomonadota; Alphaproteobacteria; Rickettsiales; Anaplasmataceae
Description: partial 16S ribosomal RNA
Rfam family: Bacterial small subunit ribosomal RNA
Source: RNAcentral